Molecule: ribosomal RNA, 465 nt
Filed under: uncultured bacterium
Lineage: Bacteria
Description: partial 16S ribosomal RNA
Rfam family: Bacterial small subunit ribosomal RNA
Source: RNAcentral
GACGAACGCUGGCGGCGUGCUUAACACAUGCAAGUCGAACGGAAAGGCCCUGCUUGCUGGGUCCUCCGGGUGCGAAGUGGUGAGUAACACGGGGGUGAUCUGCCCUCCACUUCUUGAUAAGGCUUGGAGACGGGGUCUAAUACCGGAUAGGGGCUAUGUUUAGUGGGAUGGUUGGAAAGUUUUUUGGGCGUAGGAUGAGCUGGCGGCCUAUCGGCGGGUUGGUGGGGUAAUGGCCUACCGAGGCGGCGAGGGGUAGCCGGCCUGAGAGGGUGGACGGCCACAUUGGGACUGAGGUACGGCCGCGACUCCUACGGGAGGACGAAGUGGGGAAUAUUGCACCAUGGGCGCCAGCCUGAUGCAGCGACGCUGCGUGGGGGAUGACGGCCUUCGGGUUGAAAAAUACUUUCGCUAGGGACGACGCUUUUUGUGACGGUACCUAGAUAAGAAGCACCGGCUAACUACGUG